This 499-nucleotide ribosomal RNA is filed under the name Metschnikowia pulcherrima. RNAcentral describes it as "eukaryotic LSU rRNA". It matches the Rfam family "Eukaryotic large subunit ribosomal RNA", at positions 62 to 648 of the family's 3401-position model. Lineage: Eukaryota; Fungi; Ascomycota; Pichiomycetes; Serinales; Metschnikowiaceae. The record is from RNAcentral.
AAACCAACAGGGAUUGCCUCAGUAACGGCGAGUGAAGCGGCAAAAGCUCAAAUUUGAAAUCCCCCGGGAAUCGUAAUUUGAAGAGAUUUGGGUCCGGCCGGCAGGGGUUAAGUCCACUGGAAAGUGGCGCCACAGAGGGUGACAGCCCCGUGAACCCCCUCAACGCCCUCAUCCCAGAUCUCCAAGAGUCGAGUUGUUUGGGAAUGCAGCUCUAAGUGGGUGGUAAAUUCCAUCUAAAGCUAAAUACCGGCGAGAGACCGAUAGCGAACAAGUACAGUGAUGGAAAGAUGAAAAGCACUUUGAAAAGAGAGUGAAAAAGUACGUGAAAUUGUUGAAAGGGAAGGGCUUGCAAGCAGACACUUAACUGGGCCAGCAUCGGGGCGGCGGGGAGCAAAACCACCGGGGAAUGUACCUUUCGAGGAUUAUAACCCCGGCCCUUACUCCCAUACUGCCCCGAGGCCUGCAAUCUAAGGAUGCUGGCGUAAUGGUUGCAAGUCGC